ACAGCAAUGGGAUGCAAGUUACUUUACUCAAAAACCGCACAUUUGUCUUCCUUUACAUGUAUGUAUAGGGUGUGCAUCCUAUUUUACCAACUAUGCAUUGAAGGACAUCUCCUUUAAGGACACGAUGACAGGAGAAUGACAAAAAGAGAAUGACAGAGCCACAUAAGAUACUGCGAGUACAGUUGAGGUUAAAGAGGGGAGUUUCCACCCUUUAGUUAUCGCGCAAAAGGACCAGUAUAAGAUCAUACAAAAGCUACAAGGUGACCGCAGAUGUUCUUUAAUACCUUUCUUUUUCAGAUUUCGUGGACAGAUCAUAAUCACUAACCAUAACAUAUGUAGCAAACAUGGAGAGAAAAAAAAAACUAAAUGGGAAAUAGCCAUCCGUUCCGCACAUUGACAAUGUAUCAACAGCUUCUGUGUACAAAGCCAGUAGAGUACAGUAGAGUUUAUUACAAGGCAAUAUAAAGACCCAGGAAACAAGGAAAGAAUUAUUGCAAAAAUGGAAAUAUCAAAGCCCUGCAGCCAAAGUCUAACAGCUGAUCUCUGAAGAGAACAUUCCUUUCAUAACAGAUGCCAACGCCUAUGUUACAA
This is a long non-coding RNA of Hyla sarda, 591 nucleotides long. RefSeq lists it as uncharacterized. The record is from RefSeq and is a predicted model, not a curated record. NCBI's taxonomy places the organism in Eukaryota, Metazoa, Chordata, Amphibia, Anura, Hylidae. The transcript is spliced from 3 exons.